Lutra lutra (Eurasian river otter) is the source of this 982-nucleotide long non-coding RNA. RefSeq lists it as uncharacterized. Lineage: Eukaryota; Metazoa; Chordata; Mammalia; Carnivora; Mustelidae. The record is from RefSeq and is a predicted model, not a curated record. The transcript has 6 exons.
CACUUCCGGGGCAGCCGGAACAGGUUCUCUGUCCCGGCAACCCUAGAAAAGGCCGGCAGAGAGCGGUGUUGGAGAGCAGAUGGGAGGACCGGAGGCCCUUUGACGUGAGCCCGGAGGCCCUUUAUACACAAAAGCGUGUGGUCUGUUGACCAGCAGCAUAGCAUCACCUGAGAAGUUAGAAUUGCAGAGUCUCUGGCCUCAACCCAGAUGUCAUGAUUCAGAACCUUCAUUUUAACAAGAUCUCUGGGCGAUGAGUAUGUAUGUCAAGUUUGGAAGGCACAUGGCUGAUUGUGUGGCUUACAGCUUCACAAAGCAAUCCACAUAUGGUCUGAAAACCGCCUGCCUAAGUCAACUGGCCAGUUGGAGCCCAGGAAUCUUGUGCCUCAAAGAAGUCAGCAGACUUCGACUUCUGGCCAUUGGAUGGUGGGCACUGCCGAUUUGUGUCUUGAAUGGAAUAAUGAGGGUAUUAAGAUGCAUUUUCUAUGAGCCACCUCUGAACAUCACCCCUGUGAUAUCCUUUGGUGCCACUUUGCUGAUGGAAGAAGCUCGAGGUGAAUGACUUUUGAACCUUCAUCACUGAGGAUAACAUGAAGCUAGUCACUUGCCAUCUGGCUACACCUGAGCAUGCCAAACCACGUUUCAUGGAAGGAGUUCCAGGAAGAUAUGUUGCAGACCCCAAGAAGGAAUGGCUCCUUAGACAUGGGCAGAGCAAGGAAUGUGGUUGCACCUGGAGAGUGGCAAGUGCCUUCUGAUUAAAAUCUGGCAAUUCUGUGAAGCUGCCAGUUGGAGAGAACAAAACAGCUGAGGAUUCAAGCAUCUGACCAUUCUGGUGCAUCAUUCUCUUCUCAUUGGAACAUCUACAGAGUUUUAUUUCUGACUGUGAUUUCUGGAGACCUGAAGGUGUUGAAGAUGAUUUAGUGAAGAAUAUGGGCCCAGGAAUCAAACACACCCAGGCUGGCCCACUGGCUUUGCCACCACUGAC